AACAAAAAACAAAAACUAACCUACAAAGUGAAUAAACCCCGUAGCCCCACCCCCACUUCUAUUCCAAAUCCUAAAUAGAAAACCUAGUCUUUCUCCUCUCCCUCGUAAACCUCUUCAUUUGCUUGUGUGUGACAAUCAAUUGUCCUCAUAUGCUCCUCUCGUGUUCUUUCUUUCUUCUUCGGAAAAUCACACGGUACCCACCAUUAAAUAGAUGCUGGUGCAGAGAGGAAUUAUUCUGCCAGUGGAUGAUUUUUAGCAUGACUUUGGAAGUUAGGGUUUGUGUUCUAAGGGAGGAAAAGAGUACCCACCCCUUCAGAAUUGUUCUUUCUAUUUUAUUGAGAUUUGACGGCUAGUGGUUCGUUCAGUCGGCGUGAAGUUGUUGUGAGCGGUUCAGUUGAUUCGUCAUAGCAAUGAUGAAGAUGAAGAACUCUAUGAUGGUGGAUAUGUUUAAAGAUGAGGAAUAAGGGUGUUGUUGGGCAUGGUUUGUUCAACUUGGCUUUUUCUGGGUUUUCUGAAAUUGGGAGAUGAACAUCAUGAAGAUGAUGAAAGAAAUAGAUGAAGAUGAUGAUUUUAUGGAUUUUUGUUUAUGUAUUUAUUUUUUAUUAAUUUAUUUACCCAAAAACCGUUAAAAUAUGGAUGGAAUUGGACGGAAAACCAAUUCUACAAACGAAGGUAUUUGUAGGGGACGUGUAAUGCAAUUGAUUUUUGUUAGGGACCAGAAUCGUGAAAAAGGUAUAAGUGGGGAUCAAAUGUGCAAUUAAGCCUAAAAAGUAAAGGGUACUGUAGUAAAUUUGGUUCAUGCGUUGAGAUCUUUCUUGUAUUUACUCUGCUAAUAAACUAUGAUAUUAUUACAAUUAGUACAUUAUCAACAA
This is a long non-coding RNA of Lotus japonicus, 872 nucleotides long. RefSeq lists it as uncharacterized. The transcript has 3 exons. NCBI's taxonomy places the organism in Eukaryota, Viridiplantae, Streptophyta, Magnoliopsida, Fabales, Fabaceae. The record is from RefSeq and is a predicted model, not a curated record.